Molecule: ribosomal RNA, 493 nt
Filed under: uncultured bacterium
Lineage: Bacteria
Description: bacterial SSU rRNA
Rfam family: Bacterial small subunit ribosomal RNA
Source: RNAcentral
AUUGAACGCUGGCGGCAUGCUUUACACAUGCAAGUCGAACGGCAGCGGGGGUGCUUGCACCUGCCGGCGAGUGGCGAACGGGUGAGUAAUACAUCGGAACGUAUCCUUAAGUGGGGAAUAACGCAUCGAAAGAUGUGCUAAUACCGCAUAGUCUUUUUACAAGUAAAGCAGGGGAUCGAAAGACCUUGCGCUUGAGGAGCGGCCGAUGUCUGAUUAGCUAGUUGGUGGGGUAAAGGCCUACCAAGGCGACGAUCAGUAGUUGGUCUGAGAGGACGACCAACCACACUGGGACUGAGACACGGCCCAGACUCCUACGGGAGGCAGCAGUGGGGAAUUUUGGACAAUGGGCGAAAGCCUGAUCCAGCCAUGCCGCGUGUGUGAAGAAGGCCUGAGGGUUGUAAAGCACUUUCAAUCGUGAAGAAAAGUUAGCAGGCUAAUACCCUGUGACCUUGACGUUAACGAUACAAGAAGCACGGCUAACUCCGUGCCAGCA